AAUAGAUGACGCCGUUGACUUUUUAUCACAUGUUUGACCAUUCGUCUUAUUCCAAAAUUUACGUAAUUAUAACUUAUUUUGUUAUGAAUUGUUUUAUCACUCAUAGUACUUUAAGUGUGAUUUAUAUCUUAUACAUUUGCAUAAAAUUUUUAAAUAAAACGAAUGGUCAAACAUUUGAGAAAAAGUCAAUGGCGUCAUCUAUU
This 203-nucleotide microRNA precursor is filed under the name Oryza barthii. RNAcentral's name for it is "MIR812 microRNA precursor family". It matches the Rfam family "MIR812 microRNA precursor family". The record is from Rfam by way of RNAcentral. Lineage: Eukaryota; Viridiplantae; Streptophyta; Magnoliopsida; Poales; Poaceae.